CUAACAUGCUGCCCCUUCUCAUCCAAGAAGCAUCUGCGAAAACAAGCAUGUUGAUGUCAACCUCCUGUACAGCAAUUGUGUUGAAAACAUUUGGUUUCAUUGCACAAGUUGUAUUGUUGUCUUGAGCAGCAAGAUUCAACAGCAGUUUACACAGGCACAAGAAUUGCUGGCCUCCAGCUACAGUACCAGCUGUGGUAAUUCAGUGACUGGCUAGUAAUGGAGCAGCCUCUCCUCCCAUAGAAACAAGAUGUUGUCAGGUGGUGAGAGAGAAGCAGUGAUUUGUCCAAGGUCACAUAAGAAAUCGGUGCCAGAGUUAGGAUUAGAAAUCAGGAAUUCCUGGUUUUGAGAAGGUUGAGAAAAUGGCUCCUGUAUACCCGCAUCAUUUAAGGACAAUCAAGGGCUUCAUGGAACUCCCACAGAUUUCAGUGGAGAGAUACCCACAGAGUUAAAUGGAACGUUGAUUGGAUCCAAAAGCAUCACUUUCCUCUUUCUAAUAUACUUGAGAGAAAAGAGAAAGCAAAUGAACUAAAGGAAAACAACCUAAAAAUGGAUUUCAGGGGUCUCCACUCGAUUCAAGGAACAGUAAGGAGCAAAGGAAAUUCUUCUACACAGAUUUUUAGGCAGACAAACCCUGACAAAUCAUAUUUCCUCCGGACACACCCACCCCAGCUUCUGUGCUAUGGGAACCAUAUGGAAUUCGUUUUUUAAAACCAUUCUUAUAUAAGCCAAAUCGUUUCCUUCCCCGCCCCCCUUCUGUUCAUGUUGUUUACACGUAAACAAUUUACUCUCAGUUGUAAAGGAAAUGUCUUCAAAUGCAAACAGAUGCAGCGGUAUCUGCAGACAUCCUGGAACAACAGCGUUGAGAGAAAUGUGAACUGCCUGAGUCAGCUCUGAAGCUAAUGAUGAUGUAUUGUCAAUACAACUAUUUCACUCAUCAAGGCAUGAAAGAAAGAGAUCAACAUAUUAGGAAGAUCUACGUUAUCUUCUGUAAAUGGCUUCUCAUUUGGUGAACGGAGGGUAGGCUGCAACUCUUUUCACCGCCCCCAUCUGAUCCCUGAAUGUGACUUGCUCAUGGAUCUGAUCCUUUCAUUCUUGUGACCCAUCUCCCACCAUCUAAGCUUUUCUAUUUUCUUCUCUUGAAAAUAUAUUUCAGAGUCCAGAUCA
Long non-coding RNA from Mauremys reevesii (Reeves's turtle), 1164 nucleotides. RefSeq lists it as uncharacterized. The record is from RefSeq and is a predicted model, not a curated record. Lineage: Eukaryota; Metazoa; Chordata; Testudines; Geoemydidae. The transcript is spliced from 6 exons.